Long non-coding RNA from Triplophysa dalaica, 1328 nucleotides. RefSeq lists it as uncharacterized. The record is from RefSeq and is a predicted model, not a curated record. The transcript has 4 exons. NCBI's taxonomy places the organism in Eukaryota, Metazoa, Chordata, Actinopteri, Cypriniformes, Nemacheilidae.
AUCUGACUGUGCAGAGCACUGCUGCACGAUGUGCGUGCUGCUGAGAGCACAUGGAGGAGAGAGCACGAGCACUUAGCAGCUUUGCUAAUGGAGCCUUACUCGAAUAUAAAGAAACCAAGAGCGUUUACAUCUAGAAAGUGGACGGAUUUGUUUGAGGCGUCCAAACUGGUGUAAAGAAAGCUGGUGAAGAUGUUUUUAAGACGAUGUAAGCGACAUCAUCUUCAUGGAAGUUGUGAGAGAGAACAGAGCGAUGGAUGGUCUGUGCUCCGUUGGCAGAUAAAAGCAGGAAGUCGUCCCCACCCAGAUACAAGCAGUAAUGUAAUGAGUUGACAGAGAUAGAAAGCACCAGUGCAUCAGUCACUCACCCUGCCAAUGAGGAAUGAGGUGAAGAGGUUGUGAUAAGAGCAUGCCGCGGGGCGGCCUGACCUUCAGAGUAUUGGACUGAACGCGGACAGAAGCGACACGGCAUGAGCCGGGAAACACGAGGCACUUAACCUGGGAGACGUUGUCCUGCUGAACAUCGUGAGUCACACUGGCAGUGAUGACAUUAAAGUAUGAUGUCACCUGGACUGUUAAAUGGGUCAGAUCACCUAAUCGUGGACCAGACUGAUCUUAAAAGGAGAUUGUGUCCAUGUUGUGUUAAAUUUUAAAAUUCUUACGUCAAUGGUAUUUAGAGCGGCCUAUCAGUUAUUGUCUGAUAUAUUUCUGAAUAAAAUUAUUUAUUAAACAAAAAUGCACAGAUUAAGCUUGUUUUCUAUUAAAAUGUUUAAGUGUUUUACUUACCCAUAUGUCAUUUACCUUCAUAAUAUGUAAUAUGGCUGUCUUAAAAUGCAAUUCUCAAAACUUAUAAUACUUAAAAUAACAAUGUGUUAAACCCAAAGUGACCCGAUUAAACGGUAAUACUGACAUGUACUGUACGUAUUAAUGUUUAAGUACAUUUGAAAUGUAUGACAUUAUGGUGAUGAUGUCUAUAUAAUAAGAUGGUAUAAUUAAGUAAAGCGCUGGCCGGGAUUUUCCAGUGCAGCCUCAGUAAAGCCUCAGGUUAAUGGUAUUGCUUUAGAUCUGCUGUUGGGGAUUGAGACACAUCCCUUUAGAUUAAUCCGAGUGCCUUAGAUGAUGGGAUAACAGGAUUCCACCAACCCUUAUAACAGGAGGAGGGUUCAGCGGAGGACACGCCCAAUCUGGCUAGACUUUUCCGUCAGUGGAUUCUCAUAAUCCUCUUUCUCGGAUGUGAUCACCUCUAACGAAAAACAAAAAGCUCUGGGGUCUUAUGUGAUAUAUCAAUCUGAUGUUUUUUGAGAAUGGUGAAUAAAAGCGAUGGAAAGACA